Molecule: ribosomal RNA, 253 nt
Filed under: uncultured prokaryote
Description: partial 16S ribosomal RNA
Rfam family: Bacterial small subunit ribosomal RNA
Source: RNAcentral
GACGAAGGUGGCAAGCGUUGUUCGGAUUCACUGGGCAUAAAGGGCGCGUAGGCGGUUCCGCAAGUGGCGUGUGAAAGCCCCCGGCUCAACCGGGGAAGUGCACGCCAGACUGCGGUUCUAGAGGGCGGUAGGGGGGACUGGAACUCUCGGUGGAGCGGUGAAAUGCGUAGAUAUCGGGAGGAACACCUGUGGCGAAAGCGGCGCACUGGACCACAACUGACGCUGAGGCGCGAAAGCUAGGGGAGCAAACAGG